Molecule: long non-coding RNA, 897 nt
Filed under: Homo sapiens (human)
Lineage: Eukaryota; Metazoa; Chordata; Mammalia; Primates; Hominidae
Description: HSALNT0334165
Source: RNAcentral
AGGUUUAUUGCCUGGCUAUAGACAGCCCGAGAAAGAAAGUUAGCUUCCCACCCCCGGCAGCUGCAGUGAUUGGAAAACGAGCCUGAGCCUUUUCACCGAAAAGAAUAUAUCAUUAUCCGUUGGGUUCGCCCUACUUCCCUGUUAAGAAUCACCUGAAGUGCCUAAAAAUCCGCGAGUUUCAGGGCUUUUCCCUGGAAAUAAUGAUUUAGAACGUCCUGGGGGAGGGCCUAGGAGUCUGUGGGUUUAAUAAGCACCUCCAGGAUUUGUGUCUUCGGUCAAGCAUUGAAAAAUCCUGGAACUUUCAAUAUUUAUGUAGCCAAAGUGUCUCUCUUGCUCACUCACUUGCUUGCUUGUGUACCACUAAUUGAGCAACUACUAUGGGCCAGAUGCUCUGGAAAAUGUUGUUCUGAAGAGGAGUACUAAUCUUCACCAGUGGUGCACCUAGCUGUAUUUUGCACAUUAGGAAACAGACCCAGAGGCACACCUCCCAGAUGCAUCUUCCUCAUGGGGUUGUCGCAGGGUUUAAGAAAAUGAACUCAUAUAAAGGGCUCAGAAUAGUGUCUGGAUCACAGAACUCUGAAGAAUUUAUGUCAGUGAUUCUGAAGUGAGAAUGGAACAUGGAUCCAACCCCUCUAAGGCAGAAGAGAUGUGAGCAGAUUACCUUCUCUGUCCUUAAAAGGAGUGGCCCUGCAUUCCCUGAGAGGGCAUAGCUGGGGCAGUCAUCUGGACCCACCAGACAGGAGCUGAAGCUUGAUAAAAGGUGCCUGGUUCCAGUGACUAUGGAGCAGCCUGCCAGCACUAGAGGAGUCACAGAGAUGUCUAGAUGAGUCACAGAGACAUUUACAUGACAGAAAAAUAAACAACUAUGUUGUUUAAGCCAUUAUUAGUCAGUCUUUC